CUACUUGUCAUAAAUUGAUGCUAAUCUUCCCAUAGUACAGAGGAAGACAAGUAAAUUUUAUAUACCCUAUUCUACUGCCUCAGCUCCACUGGAGUCUCACUGAGCCUACUCUGGCUUUGGAGGUGCCAAGUCACCAAGAGAGAUUCUCAGAGGCCCAUUGCAUCUAUUUCUCUCUUGCAUCAACUGGGCAUCAUGCUUAGCUAGGUCUGAGUUCUUAUCUCACAACCAGGAAGACUUAGGUGCACAGACCCUGGAGAGUGAGUGGAGUAAAAAUUAUUCAGCAAGAUGGAAGCUCUCAGCAAAGAGGGAGUGUGGGGUGUGGUUCCCCUACCCAAAGAUUAUCAAGUCUGCCGUGAUGUCUAUCUACAUUUGGGCAAGAAUACAAAUGAAGGUUCACCUGAAAGUUAUGAAGGAGGCUAAGAAAUUGUUACAUAAUACGUAAUAUAAUUUUCUACCAUGUAAAAUAUAACUCUAUAAAAACAGAAUUGAAGCACA
Long non-coding RNA from Homo sapiens (human), 495 nucleotides. Ensembl annotates it as long intergenic non-protein coding RNA 2445. The record is from Ensembl. NCBI's taxonomy places the organism in Eukaryota, Metazoa, Chordata, Mammalia, Primates, Hominidae.